Meriones unguiculatus (Mongolian gerbil) is the source of this 452-nucleotide long non-coding RNA. RefSeq lists it as uncharacterized. The record is from RefSeq and is a predicted model, not a curated record. NCBI's taxonomy places the organism in Eukaryota, Metazoa, Chordata, Mammalia, Rodentia, Muridae. The transcript has 3 exons.
CGACAGAAAGGAACGGUCGGCGACGCGCGGCUCUGUCUACUUUUGAGAUUCCUUCGGGGGCAGUAACUCGGUGUCCCCUGUCUGCAGCCAGCUUGGGAGGAGGAGACAAAUCCGGUUAUCCGCGGUGGGGCACUUGCUGUUUUUCUCCGUGAAGGAUCCAGAAACCAUUUGGCAGUACACUAUUUUGUGAAGCAAACUUUGGCCCGUUUGGUGAAGGACUCUCCGAGCCCACGAAACGGGCCUAGCUGCAUCUGAACUCCAGUGUGCCUGCUAGUUUUCGAUUCCCAUUGGUACUUUUGAGAUUAAAAGCACAGGCUCAUCCACAGCAGACAGACAUCCUGGAGAGAGAUGCUGAUGAGAUCGGACCGGUUCCAUACCCCCAUCUUCUUUCCAGAAAGCCUGAAAUUGUUAACAACACAAAUAUUAUUAUGUGCCAGAAGGUGGCAAAAUUG